GGACGCACCUCCGGUGCACCAGUUGUUCCGCCAGGGGCAUAGCUGGGUAGCCGCGUGCGGGAGUGAUAAACGCUGAAGGCAUCUAAGCGUGAAACAUGCUUCAAGAUUAGAUAUCCCACAACUUCAAGUUGGUAAGGUCACUUGCAGACUACAAGUUUGAUAGGUCAGAGGUGGAAGCGCAGUAAUGCGUGCAGCUGACUGAUACUAAUAGACCGAGGGCUUGAACCGUC
The sequence is a ribosomal RNA, 230 nucleotides long. It matches the Rfam family "Bacterial large subunit ribosomal RNA", at positions 2699 to 2925 of the family's 2925-position model.